Molecule: ribosomal RNA, 93 nt
Filed under: Bacillus toyonensis
Lineage: Bacteria; Bacillati; Bacillota; Bacilli; Caryophanales; Bacillaceae
Source: RNAcentral
CACACCCGUUCCCAUACCGAACACGGAAGUUAAGCUCUCUAGCGCCGAUGGUAGUUGGGACCUUGUCCCUGUGAGAGUAGGACGUUGCCAAGC